RNAcentral lists this transfer RNA (72 nucleotides) under Mytilus galloprovincialis (Mediterranean mussel). It matches the Rfam family "tRNA". From Rfam's summary of the family: Transfer RNA (tRNA) molecules are approximately 80 nucleotides in length. Their secondary structure includes four short double-helical elements and three loops (D, anti-codon, and T loops). Lineage: Eukaryota; Metazoa; Mollusca; Bivalvia; Mytilida; Mytilidae. RNAcentral also lists the same sequence under 1 other name. The record is from Rfam by way of RNAcentral.
AUUCAGAUAGCUCAAAGAUAGAGCAUUCAAUUUGAUAUUGAAAGGUUCCAGGUUCAAAUCCUGGUCUGAAUA